Molecule: ribosomal RNA, 781 nt
Filed under: uncultured marine bacterium
Lineage: Bacteria
Description: bacterial SSU rRNA
Rfam family: Bacterial small subunit ribosomal RNA
Source: RNAcentral
UGAUCCUGGCUCAGAUUGAACGCUGGCGGCAGGCCUAACACAUGCAAGUCGAACGGUAACAGGACAGCUUGCUAUCGCUGACGAGUGGCGGACGGGUGAGUAAUACUUAGGGAUCUGCCUCUGUGUGGGGGAUAACUAUUGGAAACGAUAGCUAAUACCGCAUAAUGUCUACGGACCAAAGCGGGCUUCGGCUCGUGCGCAGAGAGGAACCUAAGCGAGAUUAGCUAGUUGGUGAGGUAAAGGCUCACCAAGGCGACGAUCUCUAGCUGUUCUGAGAGGAAGAUCAGCCACACUGGAACUGAGACACGGUCCAGACUCCUACGGGAGGCAGCAGUGGGGAAUAUUGCACAAUGGGGGAAACCCUGAUGCAGCCAUGCCGCGUGUGUGAAGAAGGCCUUCGGGUUGUAAAGCACUUUCAGUUGUGAGGAAAGUUUAGUAGUUAAUACCUGCUAGAUGUGACGUUAGCAACAGAAGAAGCACCGGCUAACUCCGUGCCAGCAGCCGCGGUAAUACGGAGGGUGCGAGCGUUAAUCGGAAUUACUGGGCGUAAAGCGCACGCAGGCGGUCUGUUAAGCUAGAUGUGAAAGCCCCGCGCUCAACGUGGGAGGGUCAUUUAGAACUGGCAGACUAGAGUCUUGGAGAGGGGAGUGGAGUUCCAGGUGUAGCGGUGAAAUGCGUAGAGAUCUGGAGGAACAUCAAUGGCGAAGGCCACUCCCUGGCCAAAGACUGACGCUCAUGUGCGAAAGUGUGGGUAGCGAACAGGAUUAGAUACCCUGGUAGU